Molecule: ribosomal RNA, 99 nt
Filed under: Myxococcaceae bacterium
Lineage: Bacteria; Pseudomonadati; Myxococcota; Myxococcia; Myxococcales; Myxococcaceae
Source: RNAcentral
GGGGAUCUACCCGAUCCCAUCUCGAACUCGGUCGUCAAGCCCUCCAGCGUCGAUGGUACUGCACAGGUGACUGUGUGGGAGAGUAGAACGCCGCCGGGG